GCACUUCAAAUAACCAACCAACUUAUGAAGUUGUUUAUUCUCUUCCUAAGCAGGAAACAAACAGAUGACAGAUCAACAGUCAAAGGUCAUAAGACAUGUCUACAAUCUCAGGAGGAUGCAUAGUUCUAAGUAGCUCGAACACAUUAAUCUAUUUGACUUGGCUUAAGUAAAUUACAUCCUUUUGAGGAGAAGAAAUCGUAUAUAUACACAAAUUUAUUACUUAAUCCAUUGUAUUUGUGUCAACUUAAAUUAAAUACCUGCUUAAACAACAUCAAGGAUAAUCAGAAAAGCAACACCCAAGGAUAAUCAGUCAUACCUGCUUAAACAUGUAUGGGUUAGAAAUGCAGCUAAACCUCGACCGCCAUUCACUCAGUCCAAUGUUAAAGGGUUUAAUGUCAGGCAAGCUCCAAUGGCGAAGAUCAGCAUCC
RNAcentral lists this long non-coding RNA (428 nucleotides) under Medicago truncatula (barrel medic). Its description in RNAcentral is "long non-coding RNA (MTRU_LNC002744)". The record is from RNAcentral. Lineage: Eukaryota; Viridiplantae; Streptophyta; Magnoliopsida; Fabales; Fabaceae.